AUUGAACGCUGGCGGCAGGCCUAACACAUGCAAGUCGAACGGUAACAGGAAGCAGCUUGCUGCUUCGCUGACGAGCGGCGGACGGGUGAGUAAUGUCUGGGAAGCUGCCUGAUGGAGGGGGAUAACUACUGGAAACGGUAGCUAAUACCGCAUAAUGUCGCAAGACCAAAGAGGGGGACCUUCGGGCCUCUUGCCAUCGGAUGUGCCCAGAUGGGAUUAGCUUGUUGGUGGGGUAACGGCUCACCAAGGCGACGAUCCCUAGCUGGUCUGAGAGGAUGACCAGCCACACUGGAACUGAGACACGGUCCAGACUCCUACGGGAGGCAGCAGUGGGGAAUAUUGCACAAUGGGCGCAAGCCUGAUGCAGCCAUGCCGCGUGUAUGAAGAAGGCCUUCGGGUUGUAAAGUACUUUCAGCGGGGAGGAAGGGAGUAAAGUUAAUACCUUUGCUCAUUGACGUUACCCGCAGAAGAAGCACCGGCUAACUCCGUG
This 490-nucleotide ribosomal RNA is filed under the name uncultured bacterium. Its description in RNAcentral is "partial 16S ribosomal RNA". It matches the Rfam family "Bacterial small subunit ribosomal RNA", at positions 30 to 507 of the family's 1533-position model. The record is from RNAcentral.